RNAcentral lists this ribosomal RNA (253 nucleotides) under uncultured bacterium. Its description in RNAcentral is "partial 16S ribosomal RNA". It matches the Rfam family "Bacterial small subunit ribosomal RNA", at positions 524 to 776 of the family's 1533-position model. The record is from RNAcentral.
UACGUAGGGUGCGAGCGUUGUCCGGAAUCACUGGGCGUAAAGGGCGCGUAGGCGGCCUGGUAAGUAGGGGGUGAAAUCCUGUGGCUUAACUGCAGGGCUGCCUCCUAGACUGUUAGGCUCGAGCACGGUAGAGGCAGAUGGAAUUCCCGGUGUAGCGGUGGAAUGCGUAGAGAUCGGGAAGAACAUCGGUGGCGAAGGCGGUCUGCUGGGCCGUUGCUGACGCUGAGGCGCGACAGCGUGGGGAGCAAACAGG